Molecule: small RNA, 2167 nt
Filed under: Pan troglodytes (chimpanzee)
Lineage: Eukaryota; Metazoa; Chordata; Mammalia; Primates; Hominidae
Description: retained intron
Source: RNAcentral
UGUGAACCAGAGGUGCUUUCUCCAUCUCUCUGGGGCUAUCUUGUUCCUCAUCCUGUCCUGUCUCUAUGCAUUGGCCUCAGGCUCUGGCUCCCCAUCCAUGGCCUCUCAGUGCAACAGACACUGACCAGAGACUUUUAGUCCCCAGGUUUCACAUUCUUGGGACAGCAAAUCUGAUUGGCUAUCCCAGUUCACUGUCUGGCCAGGUGGGCAGGGUCAUGUGGCUCUCUGCCCAUUUGGCUGAGGCUAAGGGAGCAGGCUCUGAACAGAGACACAGGCUGGGCAAAUUUCCUGCAAGGGAGGGCCUAGUAUAAGUAACUCCCCCUGGGAGCUAUGAGGGAUGAGCCUCUGGAGGGAAAGUGGCCGGUAUGCAGGAGGUGAUCAAUUGGUAGGUGUUUCCUUCCCCCACCACGUCCUAUCACAAGAAGGUGGUUAAGAGGUGGGGUACCCUAGAGGAGGAGGGGGUGCUGGUGGGGCUGCAGCAGAUCCAGGGCAGGCAAGCUGUGUCCCCCGCACACCUGGACCUCCCAGUCAAGGGAAGAAUGGCAACAAUGCACAGCAGGUAGGGACAGGGGCUGCGCCUCAAGGACAAAGUCAGAGGAGGUGCUCUAAGCCAAGGGGACAAAGCUGGUCAUUGUCUGUGCAUGAAGAGCUGAAGUGCCCGAGUACAGGCUUCUGAGGGCUCCAGGAGCCACCAGUGAUGGUCAAGAAAGGGUGUGGGACACAAACCAGACUGUUCCCUUCUUUUCUAAAGUGCCUUGAACCCACUGCUUUACUGCAUCCUAAAGUUGGGAAUCUAAGGCUUACUGCCUUGAUUUUAUAAAACUCAGUUUUAUAGUCACAGAAAGUCCCUUGGAUUAGCCCAAGGUCAUUCAGCAAGCUGUGACUCAGAAGUAGGGCUGUGACAGGAACUGGGGUACCCAGACCCAACUCCUGGGCCUGGCCUCCACGGAGUCUGUUGCAGGGGGUGUGCUUACUGCCUGCUCUGCACCCACAGAUGAUGCCAGCUGGCUGCACGCAGGGCCACCCCACAACGAGUACAUGGAGCAGAGUUUCCAGGGCCUGAGUAGCAUCCUGAACCUGCCUCAGCCGGAGCUCGCGGAGGAGGCUGCCCAGCGGCACACACAGCUCACAGGCCCUGCGCUCGAGGCCUGGACAGACAGGGAACUGAGCAGCUUCUGGUCCGUGGCUGGACUGUGUGCCAUAGGCCCCUCUCCCUGCCCCUCCCUGGAGCCCUGCAGACUGACCAGCUGGAGCUCUCUGUCCCCCGACCCCAAAUCAGAGCUGGGGCCUGUCAAAGCAGACGGGCGACUCAGGUAGCAGGGCCCCAGCCAGUACCCGUGGAGGACCCAGGAAAUUGCACCUUACAGACAGUGGAGGGGUGUCCCCUCCCACAGGCAAGAACCAGAGGCCCAGGCUGCACACCCAUUUCAGCCAUCAAGAACCCACACAGACGGCAGGGAAGGUGGACACAGUAUGAACUACUGCUGAUGUCUCUGUUGGGGAUCAGAGGGCUGGCGGGAACGUGAGAAGGGCGCCAGCAGCAUUCCACACCCAGCUCUUCCUCACCUUCCUGUCUAGUUUGAAUUUCUUUUUUUUCUUUUUUUUUAAUUUAAAAAGGAAAAUGGGUGGUUGGGAGAGAAACUAGAACAGAAGAUGUGCAAUAGGGCUCAGAGCAGCCCCAGGAAGUGGGCCAUGUCUGUGGGGAGCAGGGGCUUGCUGAGCCCACCUGCUAUUGUUCUGCACAAGGCUGGGCCUGCCUCACUCUCCAGGGCCUCAUGCCCCAUUCUGGGCCUGUGGUGCUCGUGGCUGAGGCUCCACAGGGCUGCAAGUGCUCUGCUAGGCUCUAAGGCCCAAAGAACAGAUGAUACCGGGGGCACUGCAGAGCUGGGCUCUAGCAGGACAGUUCUUUUGUAGCCAGGGGACCCUAGAAGUGGGGUGGGGUGGCUCCAGGGCUUUCCAGCAUACCCUGCCCCUGGAUGGGAAAGGCAGGGUCAGGGCCCACUGAGACCCAUGCAGAGUUUCCAGGUGUGCACUGGAAGUGAGGUCACAUGAGCAGCGUGGGAAGAAGACUCUGUCAAGACUCUCAGAAGAACCUGGAGUAAUUGUGCCUGAAGCUCAGCGUGAAGUCUGAAAUAUGCAACAGAAGAAAUAUAUCUCUAUCUCUCUA